AGAUUGAACGCUGGCGGCACGCCUAACACAUGCAAGUCGAACGGGAGUAGCAAUACUCUAGUGGCGGACGGGUGAGGAAUACGUAGGAAUUUGCCCUUAAGUGGGGGAUAACCCGGGGAAACCCGGAUUAAUACCGCAUGACCUCGAAAGAGCAAAGUGGGGGAUCGCAAGACCUCACGCUUUUGGAGAAGCCUACGUCGGAUUAGCUAGUUGGUGAGGUAAUGGCUCACCAAGGCGACGAUCCGUAACUGGUCUGAGAGGAUGAUCAGUCACACCGGAACUGAGACACGGUCCGGACUCCGUACGGGAGGCAGC
RNAcentral lists this ribosomal RNA (315 nucleotides) under uncultured soil bacterium. RNAcentral's name for it is "bacterial SSU rRNA". It matches the Rfam family "Bacterial small subunit ribosomal RNA", at positions 26 to 352 of the family's 1533-position model. The record is from RNAcentral.